RNAcentral lists this ribosomal RNA (498 nucleotides) under uncultured Glomeromycotina. RNAcentral describes it as "partial small subunit ribosomal RNA". It matches the Rfam family "Eukaryotic small subunit ribosomal RNA", at positions 591 to 1092 of the family's 1831-position model. The record is from RNAcentral. Lineage: Eukaryota; Fungi; Glomeromycota.
CCAAUAGCGUAUAUUAAAGUUGUUGCAGUUAAAAAGCUCGUAGUUGAAUUUCGGGAUCAAUAUGUUGGUCGUGCCUUGGUACGUACUAGUUUAUUGGUUUCUCUCUUCUGACGAACCAUGAUGUCAUUAAUUUGGUGUCAUGUGGAAUCAGAACUGUUACUUUGAAAAAAUUAGAGUGUUUAAAGCAGGCUCACGCUUGAAUACAUUAGCAUGGAAUAAUGAAAUAGGACGUUUGAUUCUAUUUUGUUGGUUUCUAGGAUUGACGUAAUGAUUAAUAGGGAUAGUUGGGGGCAUUAGUAUUCAAUUGUCAGAGGUGAAAUUCUUGGAUUUAUUGAAGACUAACUACUGCGAAAGCAUUUGCCAAGGAUGUUUUCAUUAAUCAAGAACGAAAGUUAGGGGAUCGAAGACGAUCAGAUACCGUCGUAGUCUUAACCAUAAACUAUGCCGACUAGGGAUCGGAUGAUGUUAAUUUUUUAAUGACUCAUUCGGCGCCUUACG